This 85-nucleotide transfer RNA is filed under the name Bordetella sp. Its description in RNAcentral is "tRNA-Leu". It matches the Rfam family "tRNA". Rfam says of the family: Transfer RNA (tRNA) molecules are approximately 80 nucleotides in length. The record is from RNAcentral. Lineage: Bacteria; Pseudomonadati; Pseudomonadota; Betaproteobacteria; Burkholderiales; Alcaligenaceae.
GCCCGAGUGGUGAAAUUGGUAGACACAGGGGACUCAAAAUCCCCCGCUUUUUAGCAUGCCGGUUCAAUUCCGGCCUCGGGUACCA